RNAcentral lists this unclassified non-coding RNA (3162 nucleotides) under Daphnia pulicaria. RNAcentral's name for it is "serine/threonine-protein kinase/endoribonuclease IRE1-like, transcript variant X2". The record is from RNAcentral. Lineage: Eukaryota; Metazoa; Arthropoda; Branchiopoda; Diplostraca; Daphniidae.
CUUUUUAUUAAAUUGCGUACAAAGAAUUGAUUAGUAAUCGAUUAUGAGAAUUGAUAGUGAUAAUCGAUUUUUAAGUUGACGUGUAACUCCAACGCAAACAUCGUCUGCUUUGUUGGUUUUGAGCAUGUGUUUGUUGAAACGUUAGUGAAUAACAACUGCUGAUGAUGAAAACCAAACUACUUAAUUUUUAAUUUACAUUUUUCAUUUGUUUUUAAAUAUCGUUCACUUUGUGCUUCCUGGGAACAGUUUUCACAUGUUAAAAAACGCUGACAACAAAAGUCAAAAGAAACGUUUUCAAACCUGUUGCUCUCAAAGCAAUUAAGAAAGAUACCUGUGCCAUAUAUGCUGCCAAACCGGUUAUGAAAAACUGAGGCCGUUUAUAUAGGCCUAUAUUACCGUACCGUUUAUAUCAGUGGUGUUAGUAACGGAAAAACCGAGAUAACGAACAAAGAUUUUCGUAUCUUUCGUGGGCGAUUAUUAUUUCAUUCAGUCAAUCGUGGGACUGGAGAGUAGAAAUGGGGGAAGAAAUGGUGGUCCUCAACGAUCAGAAAAUCAGUUUCUGCCGAAAGGAUAUCAUAGGUAGAGGUGGUAAUGCAGUGGUUUUCCGUGGCAGUUUUUCAGGGCAAGAUGUGGCUGUGAAGCGGAUUCAACUGAUUGACGCCAACUACGAAUUAAAUUCGAGAGAGUUGCUCAAUUUGCGCCAACUCAAGCAUGGCAAUAUUGUCGAGUUUAUCCAUGUCGAGGAUAACGACGAUUUCAGAUUUAUUGUUUUCGAGCUCUGUUAUGCAAAUCUCCGCGAAUACUGCAAACCUGUUUACACAGGUCAAGUGCUGUCCGAUGAGUCAGAUCAGUUAAAGGUCAUGUUACAACUUACCCAAGCUCUCGAGUACAUUCAUUCAAAGGACAUCAUCCAUCGUGACAUCAAGCCAGAAAAUAUUUUGGUUUCCAACAAGGAUUCUGUCAAGAUGAAAUGGGCUGAUUUUGGACACAGCAAACUGACCAACGAGCGCGGCUCUACCUCAAUGAGCGGGCGCCGUGGAACGAAAGCUUGGUUGGCAAAGGAGAUCAUUCCAUUCUUUAACAGGGAUGAAUUAGGAGGGCGGUGUUCUAAAAACAGCGAUAUUUUUGCGGCUGGAUGCGUGUUUUUCUACUUUUUAACCAGAGGAAUCCAUCCUUAUGGUGAAGAAAAUCGGUUAAUCGAGCAAAAUAUUUUAAGUGAAAACAUAGAAAAUAAAAAUGAAUUGAACGACGGUCAUGCUGCCAAAAAAACUGUCAUUCAAAUGAUGGAAGACCGAUUGGAUUUGGCGAAAGUUAUCGAAUGUUUCAAUGCAUCUCUUUCCUAGAUGAAUUUUGACCGCUGAGGGUAAUCAUUGUGUUAUCAUCAUUAUUAUCCCAUAACAUCCACCAUCUAUGAGUGCAAAAUUAACUUCCCGGUGAGAGCAACCAAACCCCUUUAAAAUGUCUUGAAGAAACAGUGUGGUAAUUCUAUCCUGGAAUAACACAUUUAUUGUGUGUAACCUAAGGGUGAAUCCAAAAUACUAAUACAGAGUACAUAAUUUCCUCCCUAAUUAAAAUUCUGCAUUUAGUCUCCUCUGAGGAACGUAUAGGAGGGAUGGAACUGUCCUUGGGUUGGAAUGAAAAUAACAAGCUGACACCGUGGUCGUGCGUCCAGUCGCUUUUUUAUAAUAGCCUAACCUUAUGGAAAGCAAGUCCGUAGCCUGUAUCGCACCGUAUCUAUGAUAACAAUCUUACAAGUCCGAUAAGAAAUGUAAAUAAUUUCUGACAGAAAAUCUUUGGCGCCAUUUUCCUACAAAGAAGUUUCAUAUAAGCUUAUGCCGUUCAGUUACCUGUUACAUCAACUAAAAUGUCGGCCGAACAAACGCUGAUCAGUGCUAAUUUUACUUAUAACGACUCCAGUAUCAUAGGGGAAGGUGGAUACGGUGUCGUUUUUCAUGGUACUUAUUUUGGCAGAAAUGUUGCCGUAAAACGAAUUCAACGAUUCCAAGUAAAUCCACGUGAGGAGGCCAAUUUACAUAAACUCGAUCAUGACAACGUGAUACGGCUAGAACACUGCGAAGACAACAAGGAUUUCAGAUUUCUCGUGUUUGAGCUAUGUGCUACAGAUCUUGACAGCUAUUUGGAAGUAAAAUACCGCUACCAGAUAAGACUACCUCCUGACGAGGAAGUCCUCUUCAGCUCACCAAAGGUCUUCACUACAUUCACACAAUGGGGGUGAUCCAUCGUGAUAUCAAACCAGGGAAUAUUCUCAUUUCAAAAACGAAUCCUGUUCUGAUGAAAUGGGGUGAUUUCGGAUUCAACAAAGUUACGAAUAACCGUGGCUCUACGUCAAUGAGUGGCUUCCGUGGAACCCAAUGUUGGAUGGCACCCGAGAUACUUCCUUUACGCCAAAACAAAAAUGGCAGGGGUUCCAAGCAAAGUGAUACAUUUUCAGCCGGCUGUGUUUUCUUCUACUUCAUGAAAAGAAAAGUUCAUCCUUUUGGGAAACCAAAAUCGGCGGAAGGAAACAUCUCGCGCGGAAAAAUAGUUAACGCUAAACUCGUUGCUGAUGUUCCCGUCUUCCAAUUAGUGAUAAUUCCAAUGAUUGCCCAUAAAAGUGAAGAUCGCAUUUCUUUAUCGAAAGUUAUGGAAAUUUUGGAAGACCCUGAUGUAAUUAGUGAAUUUCAGCAAAAGACAACAAAAAACGUAUCAGAAGAAAGUCGGCUUGCUGAAAUUCGCGGAAAAAUGAUUUCGAUUGCAACUCUGCUGCAACAAAAAAAUAAGACGGGAUGGGUUAUCAAAGCAGAAGUUACUAACAAGACGCAAUUGCAAUCCAUGGAGAGUGUUAUAGAAGGAGUGCCAGGAAUGAAAUACUUUUCGUUGAGUUGAAAGACGAAAGUGAGGCAAUGAUUCGAGCAAGAGGCUGCAAAGCCGCAAUUUGUAACAAAUUCUAUCCAAAAUUUCAGGUAGGAAAAGAAUAUGUAAUCGUGAAAUCGACAUUGACCACAUUGCGUACUGGUGAGCCUAUCAUAUCUCUGCGAGCUGAAACGGAAAUAGUUACAAAUUGAUCUGAAAAUUGUAAUGUCGGUCGACAUUUGAAGUUUGUUUACUUCUGCAAUUAGAGGACGAAUAAACUUCACAGAACGACUGCGAUCGUCAUAUUUU